GGGCCUUAGGCCCAAAUAUUUCCAAGAAACCGGAUCCAAAUCCGUGUCCAACCAACAAAGUGGAUCAGGUCAAAGUGUUAUAAUCUGCUUAAAUGAAAAAAGCUGAAACAACAAGGAGAUGAAAUAAAUGCUUAUGCCAGAACCAUUGCUUUUGAGAUCCAUCAGCACCGUGUCUUCGUGGAUUCCGUGUUUUCAUGUGUGUGUUCUCCUUCGAUUUGUGAAAAAUGUAUGAGCAGUACACAGAUUCAAAUUCACCAUGUGGCUUCAUCAUCCGGUCGAAUUCAUCGUCGUCUUCAUCGACUCCGAAUUUCAAGAUUCAAGAUCGAAACUAAAGAUCUAUGAAACUUUGCAUCUCGCGCGUGGAAUGGUGAAGCACCGUGUAUGAAUUAAUAAUCGAAUCAAGAAGAAUGCUUACUGGAUUGGCUUUGUCGAAUCAGGUUGUUUACGUACGCGGAAUCGGAGCUCCGGUGUUAUGCUUUUAGGCGAAUAACAGACUAUUAUGUUGGUGCAAGGUGGUGACUCAUGUUUGCUUUGUCAAAUUGUGUAAAAUAACUUAUCAUGUCCCUUGUGCAAUGAACAUUUCUACCUGCCGCAGGGAUCAUGUGUAUUAUCUCUUGCUAUGUCCCUCUCAUUCAAAUGUCACAUUUCCAAUUGAGAACUCCAGUCAUAAGAAAAAGUCAAUUCAAGAGCAUAUUAUUUCAUCUCAACUGCCAUUUCAACAGCCAAACAACCUGUUGGGGAGGUUUAAAGAAUAGUGGUAAAAAAAUGGUAUUUUGUGGAUCUGCCCUAUCAAAUGAAGAAAAGGUGAUUUUGAUUAAUUUUUCAAGCAAGAUUCGUGCUACAGUGACGAAGUGUUGGACCUCAAAUGUCACCCAUGCGAUUGCAGCAACGGAAGCAAAUGGGGCAUGCUCGAGGACAAUGAAAGUUUUGAGGGCAAUUCUAAAUGGACGAUGGAUCCUAAAUGAAGAAUGGAAUUGUUGCUGGCAUAUUGGACAUGGCUCCACAUCCAUAUAAGAAUAAGUUCUGCGGGUACACACUUGUACCAAAUUGAUCGAAAUUGUGAUGGAUGAUUCAUUGUAGCUAUGUAUUGUUUAUAAUUAUGAAUGGUAUGUUAUAAUGGUAAUGGUUUGGAAUUGGCUUAUGCAUCAUGUAUGACCAUGUAUGGAUUGUAUGUAGUUAUGUUAUAAUGCUCGCAUUAGGUUGUACAUGUAUGAACUGGGUUUGGACUGUUUGUACAGGGCAUUUGGAAGCAUGGAGAGUUUGAACAAAGGCAUGCAAAUUGGCUUGCAUUUUGGCUUGUUACUGAAGUAAAUGGUGAAGGCAACAUCAAAAAGGGGAAUGUGGAUAUAUGAAGAUUCAAACGAGGAAGAUUACUUGUAAAAAUAGGAACUAAGGUUUAGGGUGGAUAAAAUGAGUCAAUUGACUUUGGGUUUUGGUCAUGGAAAAAGGUUGGUUGACUUUCGUCAAUUGGUUGACCAAAAGGUCAACAAAUGACCAAAAGUCAACCUUUUUGUAAAAAUUGCAUUUUUUUCUUUUUCUUUUGUAAUGGACAAUGUAAGUGUUGUAUGAAUGAAUGAACGGUCCUUCAUUUGAAUAGAAUGAUCUUUAAGUCAAUGCAAAAUGUAUUCCUUCUCAAAUAAAUAAAAUCCCUUCAAAAAUUCACAUUUGAAUCAUACCUUUGAA
Long non-coding RNA from Lathyrus oleraceus (garden pea), 1683 nucleotides. RefSeq lists it as uncharacterized. The transcript is spliced from 2 exons. The record is from RefSeq and is a predicted model, not a curated record. NCBI's taxonomy places the organism in Eukaryota, Viridiplantae, Streptophyta, Magnoliopsida, Fabales, Fabaceae.